Molecule: ribosomal RNA, 494 nt
Filed under: uncultured bacterium
Lineage: Bacteria
Description: partial 16S ribosomal RNA
Rfam family: Bacterial small subunit ribosomal RNA
Source: RNAcentral
GACGAACGCUGGCGGCGCGCUUAACACAUGCAAGUCGAACGGAAAGGCCUGCUUUCCCUUGUGGAUUGCGGGUACUCGAGUGGCGAACGGGUGAGUAACACGUGAGUGGUCUGCCCCCAACUUGGGUAUAAGCCUGGGAAACUGGGUCUAAUUCCCGAUAGGACUGCAGGGUGGUGCCUGUGGUGGAAAACGAUUUUCUAGUGGUUGGGGAUGAGCUCGCGGCCUAUCAGCUUGUUGGUGGGGUAAUGGCCUACCAAGGCGGCGACGGGUAGCCGGCCUGAGAGGGCGGACGGCCACAUUGGGACUGAGAUACGGCCCAGACUCCUACGGGAGGCAGCAGUGGGGAAUAUUGCACAAUGGGCGGAAGCCUGAUGCAGCGACGCCGCGUGGGGGAUGACGGCCUUAGGGUUGUAAACUCCUUUCGACCGCGAGGAAGCCACCUGGUUGGAAGGGUGGUGACGGUAGUGGUAGAAGAAGCACCGGCUAACUACGUG